ACUUUUAAAGGANGACAGAUCCCG
This 24-nucleotide transfer RNA is filed under the name Rhampholeon spectrum. RNAcentral describes it as "partial tRNA-Leu". The record is from RNAcentral. Lineage: Eukaryota; Metazoa; Chordata; Lepidosauria; Squamata; Chamaeleonidae.